This 498-nucleotide ribosomal RNA is filed under the name uncultured bacterium. RNAcentral describes it as "partial 16S ribosomal RNA". It matches the Rfam family "Bacterial small subunit ribosomal RNA", at positions 28 to 507 of the family's 1533-position model. The record is from RNAcentral.
GACGAACGCUGGCGGCGUGCCUAAUACAUGCAAGUCGAACGAGAGCGACCGGUGCUUGCACUGGUCAAUCUAGUGGCGAACGGGUGAGUAACACGUGGGUAACCUGCCCAUCAGAGGGGGAUAACAUCCGGAAACGGAUGCUAAAACCGCAUAGGUCUUCGAGCCGCAUGGCUUGAAGAGGAAAAGAGGCGCAAGCUUCUGCUGAUGGAUGGGCCCGCGGUGCAUUAGCUAGUUGGUGAGGUAACGGCUCACCAAGGCCGUGAUGCAUAGCCGACCUGAGAGGGUGAUCGGCCACAUUGGGACUGAGACACGGCCCAAACUCCUACGGGAGGCAGCAGUAGGGAAUCUUCCGCAAUGGACGCAAGUCUGACGGAGCAACGCCGCGUGAGUGAAGAAGGUUUUCGGAUCGUAAAACUCUGUUGUUAGAGAAGAACAAGUGCUAGAGUAACUGUUAGCGCCUUGACGGUAGCUAACCAGAAAGCCACGGCUAACUACGUG